GACGUAGGAUGCAAGCGUUGUCCGGAUUUAUUGGGCGUAAAGAGUUCGUAGGUGGUUCGUUAAGUCUGAUGUUAAAGACUGGGGCUCAACCCUGGGAGUGCAUUGGAUACUGGCGGACUGGAGUGCAGUAGAGGCAAGCGGAAUUUCCAGUGUAGCGGUGAAAUGCGUAGAUAUUGGGAAGAACACCGGUGGCGCAAGCGGCUUGCUGGGCUGUAACUGACGCUGAGGAACGAAAGCUAGGGGAGCGAACGGG
RNAcentral lists this ribosomal RNA (253 nucleotides) under uncultured bacterium. Its description in RNAcentral is "partial 16S ribosomal RNA". It matches the Rfam family "Bacterial small subunit ribosomal RNA", at positions 524 to 776 of the family's 1533-position model. The record is from RNAcentral.